RNAcentral lists this ribosomal RNA (279 nucleotides) under uncultured bacterium. RNAcentral describes it as "partial 16S ribosomal RNA". It matches the Rfam family "Bacterial small subunit ribosomal RNA", at positions 506 to 784 of the family's 1533-position model. The record is from RNAcentral.
UGCCAGCAGCCGCGGUAAUACGGAGGGUGCUAGCGUUGUUCGGAAUAACUGGGCGUAAAGGGCACGCAGGCGGUUUGAUAAGUCAGAUGUGAAAGCCCUGGGCUUAACCCAGGAAGUGCAUUUGAUACUGUCAUUCUUGAGUACGGGAGAGGGAAGCGGAAUUCCGAGUGUAGAGGUGAAAUUCGUAGAUAUUCGGAGGAACACCGGUGGCGAAGGCGGCUUCCUGGACCAAUACUGACGCUGAGAUGCGAAAGCGUGGGGAGCGAACAGGAUUAGAUA